RNAcentral lists this ribosomal RNA (506 nucleotides) under uncultured bacterium. RNAcentral describes it as "partial 16S ribosomal RNA". It matches the Rfam family "Bacterial small subunit ribosomal RNA", at positions 28 to 523 of the family's 1533-position model. The record is from RNAcentral.
GAUGAACGCUAGCUACAGGCUUAACACAUGCAAGUCGAGGGGUAACGAGAGGAAAGCUUGCUUUCCUUGUCGACGACCGGCGCACGGGUGAGUAACGCGUAUCCAACCUGCCCCCAACUAAGGAAUAACCUUGCGACAGUAAGACUAAUACCUUAUAAUUUCCUCAGAUGACAUCUGACGAGGAAUAAAGAUUUAUCGGUUGUGGAUGGGGAUGCGUCUGAAUAGCUUGUUGGCGGGGUAACGGCCCACCAAGGCAACGAGCAGUAGGGGUUCUGAGAGGAAGGUCCCCCACAUUGGAACUGAGACACGGUCCAAACUCCUACGGGAGGCAGCAGUGAGGAAUAUUGGUCAAUGGGCGGAAGCCUGAACCAGCCAAGUAGCGUGCAGGAUGACGGCCCUGUGGGUUGUAAACUGCUUUUAUACAGGAAUAAAGUUAGCCACGUGUGGUUAUUUGUAGGUACUGUAUGAAUAAGGACCGGCUAAUUCCGUGCCAGCCGCCGCCGUAA